UGUGUGCGUGUGUGUGUGUGCGUGUGUGUGUUUGUGUGCGUGUGUGUGUUUGUGUGCGUGUGUGUGUUUGUGUGCGUGUGUGUGUGUGCGUGUGUGUGUGUGCGUUUGUGUGUGUGUGUAUUGGAUACGGCUUAGGACGGCGGGCCCCACCCACCCACCCAGUAUGCACGCACAUACAUACACGCAACCUAAGGUUGAUAAACACACACUUCCCCCUCUCCCCUUCCGUGCGCACAUAUCGCAGGCUGGUCGAUAAGUUCUAAGUUUGAUAAGUACCUGCUGCUCGGAUCUGCCGUAUUCAAGGUACGGCAAACAUUAUUAUGCACGGAUUUUCCGCGGAUGUGGGUACACACACCCCAUGUGGUUGCCAUCCUUGCUGCCGUACUCUGCCCCGUGGGGCGGCCUGCGUAUCAGUUGCACAGCAGCACAGGGCAUUCCUUACGACAGAUCGACAACCCGGGCUGAAAUUGCACAUACACACAUCUUUCCACCUUGAAACAUGCACGCACACACAGACACACACACACACACACAGACACACACACAGACACACACACAGACACACACACAGACACGCAUACACGCACACACGCACCCGAGCAGCUGCCUCAGGUGGCUGCAGAUUUCCAAGGUGCGCUCUAAACCCCCUCAGACCUCAGACAGGGGGACCCCUGGGGGGACAGAGCGCAGAGGGCAGGGGGGUUGAGGGCAAGGCGGUGGAGACUUCCCCGUCCCCACCGAUUACCUCUUCCUCCUCCAUCUCCUCCUCCUCCUUUUCCUCCUCCAUCUCCUCUU
This 795-nucleotide long non-coding RNA is filed under the name Volvox carteri. RNAcentral's name for it is "long non-coding RNA (VCAR_LNC001345)". Lineage: Eukaryota; Viridiplantae; Chlorophyta; Chlorophyceae; Chlamydomonadales; Volvocaceae. The record is from RNAcentral.